CUACGGGGUGCUGCAGUGGGGAAUAUUGGACAAUGGGGGAAACCCUGAUCCAGCAAUGCCGCGUGUGUGAAGAAGGCCUGCGGGUUGUAAAGCACUUUCGGUUGGGAGGACUGCUUCUAGCACUAAUAUUGUUGGAAGUUGACGUUACCUUCAGAAGAAGCACCGGCUAACUCCGUGCCAGCAGCCGCGGUGAAUACGGAGGGUGCAAGCGUUAAUCGGAAUUACUGGGCGUAAAGCGCGCGUAGGCGGCUAGAUCAGUCGGGUGUGAAAGCCCCGGGCUUAACCUGGGAACUGCAUCCGAUACUGUCUAGCUUGAGUACAGGAGAGGAGAGUGGAAUUCCACAUGUAGCGGUGAAAUGCGUAGAUAUGUGGAGGAACACCAAUGGCGAAGGCAGCUCUCUGGCCUGAUACUGACGCUGAGGUGCGAAAGCGUGGGGAGCAAACAGGAUUAGAUACCCGAGUAGUC
RNAcentral lists this ribosomal RNA (466 nucleotides) under uncultured bacterium. RNAcentral's name for it is "partial 16S ribosomal RNA". It matches the Rfam family "Bacterial small subunit ribosomal RNA", at positions 339 to 795 of the family's 1533-position model. The record is from RNAcentral.